UACCAGCACCCCGAGUGGUCGGGACGUUUAUUGGGCCUAAAGCAUCCGUAGCCGGUUCUACAAGUCUUCCGUUAAAUCCACCUGCUUAACAGAUGGGCUGCGGAAGAUACUAUAGAGCUAGGAGGCGGGAGAGGCAAGCGGUACUCGAUGGGUAGGGGUAAAAUCCGUUGAUCCAUUGAAGACCACCAGUGGCGAAGGCGGCUUGCCAGAACGCGCUCGACGGUGAGGGAUGAGAGCUGGGGGAGCAAACCGG
This 253-nucleotide ribosomal RNA is filed under the name uncultured bacterium. RNAcentral's name for it is "partial 16S ribosomal RNA". It matches the Rfam family "Archaeal small subunit ribosomal RNA", at positions 474 to 727 of the family's 1478-position model. The record is from RNAcentral.